AACGAACGCUGGCGGCAGGCCUAACGCAUGCAAGUCGAACGGGUGUAGCAAUACAUUAGUUGCGCACGGGUGCGUAACACGUGGGAACAUACACUUGAGUAAGGAAUAAUGUCUGGAAACGGACACUAAUACCUUAUAAUGACUUCGGUCCAAGGAUUUAUCGCUCAAGGAUUGGCCCGCGCCUGAUGAGGUAGUUGGUGAGGUAACGGCUCGUCAAGGCUCGGAUCAGUAGCUGGUAUGAGAGGAUGAGCAGCCACACUGGAACGGAGCCACGGUCCGGACUCAUACGGGAGGCAGCAGUGCGGAAUAUUGCGGAAUGGGGGAAACCCUGACGCAGCCCUGCCGCGUGAGUGAAGAAGGCCGUAGGGUUGUAAAGCUCUUUCAGUCGUGAAGAUAAUGACGGUAGCGACAGAAGAAGCCCCGGCUAAAUUCGUGCCAGCAGCCGCCGUAA
This 451-nucleotide ribosomal RNA is filed under the name uncultured bacterium. Its description in RNAcentral is "partial 16S ribosomal RNA". It matches the Rfam family "Bacterial small subunit ribosomal RNA", at positions 29 to 523 of the family's 1533-position model. The record is from RNAcentral.